UUAAGCGACUAAGCGUACACGGUGGAUGCCCUGGCAGUCAGAGGCGAUGAAGGACGUGCUAAUCUGCGAUAAGCGUCGGUAAGGUGAUAUGAACCGUUAUAACCGGCGAUUUCCGAAUGGGGAAACCCAGUGUGAUUCGUCACACUAUCAUUAACUGAAUCCAUAGGUUAAUGAGGCGAACCGGGGGAACUGAAACAUCUAAGUACCCCGAGGAAAAGAAAUCAACCGAGAUUCCCCCAGUAGCGGCGAGCGAACGGGGAGCAGCCCAGAGCCUGAAUCAGUGUGUGUGUUAGUGGAAGCGUCUGGAAAGGCGCGCGAUACAGGGUGACAGCCCCGUACACAAAAAUGCACAUGCUGUGAGCUCGAUGAGUAGGGCGGGACACGUGGUAUCCUGUCUGAAUAUGGGGGGACCAUCCUCCAAGGCUAAAUACUCCUGACUGACCGAUAGUGAACCAGUACCGUGAGGGAAAGGCGAAAAGAACCCCGGCGAGGGGAGUGAAAAAGAACCUGAAACCGUGUACGUACAAGCAGUGGGAGCACGCUUAGGCGUGUGACUGCGUACCUUUUGUAUAAUGGGUCAGCGACUUAUAUUCUGUAGCAAGGUUAACCGAAUAGGGGAGCCGAAGGGAAACCGAGUCUUAACUGGGCGUUAAGUUGCAGGGUAUAGACCCGAAACCCGGUGAUCUAGCCAUGGGCAGGUUGAAGGUUGGGUAACACUAACUGGAGGACCGAACCGACUAAUGUUGAAAAAUUAGCGGAUGACUUGUGGCUGGGGGUGAAAGGCCAAUCAAACCGGGAGAUAGCUGGUUCUCCCCGAAAGCUAUUUAGGUAGCGCCUCGUGAAUUCAUCUCCGGGGGUAGAGCACUGUUUCGGCAAGGGGGUCAUCCCGACUUACCAACCCGAUGCAAACUGCGAAUACCGGAGAAUGUUAUCACGGGAGACACACGGCGGGUGCUAACGUCCGUCGUGAAGAGGGAAACAACCCAGACCGCCAGCUAAGGUCCCAAAGUCAUGGUUAAGUGGGAAACGAUGUGGGAAGGCCCAGACAGCCAGGAUGUUGGCUUAGAAGCAGCCAUCAUUUAAAGAAAGCGUAAUAGCUCACUGGUCGAGUCGGCCUGCGCGGAAGAUGUAACGGGGCUAAACCAUGCACCGAAGCUGCGGCAGCGACGCUUAUGCGUUGUUGGGUAGGGGAGCGUUCUGUAAGCCUGCGAAGGUGUGCUGUGAGGCAUGCUGGAGGUAUCAGAAGUGCGAAUGCUGACAUAAGUAACGAUAAAGCGGGUGAAAAGCCCGCUCGCCGGAAGACCAAGGGUUCCUGUCCAACGUUAAUCGGGGCAGGGUGAGUCGACCCCUAAGGCGAGGCCGAAAGGCGUAGUCGAUGGGAAACAGGUUAAUAUUCCUGUACUUGGUGUUACUGCGAAGGGGGGACGGAGAAGGCUAUGUUGGCCGGGCGACGGUUGUCCCGGUUUAAGCGUGUAGGCUGGUUUUCCAGGCAAAUCCGGAAAAUCAAGGCUGAGGCGUGAUGACGAGGCACUACGGUGCUGAAGCAACAAAUGCCCUGCUUCCAGGAAAAGCCUCUAAGCAUCAGGUAACAUCAAAUCGUACCCCAAACCGACACAGGUGGUCAGGUAGAGAAUACCAAGGCGCUUGAGAGAACUCGGGUGAAGGAACUAGGCAAAAUGGUGCCGUAACUUCGGGAGAAGGCACGCUGAUAUGUAGGUGAAGUCCCUCGCGGAUGGAGCUGAAAUCAGUCGAAGAUACCAGCUGGCUGCAACUGUUUAUUAAAAACACAGCACUGUGCAAACACGAAAGUGGACGUAUACGGUGUGACGCCUGCCCGGUGCCGGAAGGUUAAUUGAUGGGGUUAGCGCAAGCGAAGCUCUUGAUCGAAGCCCCGGUAAACGGCGGCCGUAACUAUAACGGUCCUAAGGUAGCGAAAUUCCUUGUCGGGUAAGUUCCGACCUGCACGAAUGGCGUAAUGAUGGCCAGGCUGUCUCCACCCGAGACUCAGUGAAAUUGAACUCGCUGUGAAGAUGCAGUGUACCCGCGGCAAGACGGAAAGACCCCGUGAACCUUUACUAUAGCUUGACACUGAACAUUGAGCCUUGAUGUGUAGGAUAGGUGGGAGGCUUUGAAGUGUGGACGCCAGUCUGCAUGGAGCCGACCUUGAAAUACCACCCUUUAAUGUUUGAUGUUCUAACGUUGACCCGUAAUCCGGGUUGCGGACAGUGUCUGGUGGGUAGUUUGACUGGGGCGGUCUCCUCCUAAAGAGUAACGGAGGAGCACGAAGGUUGGCUAAUCCUGGUCGGACAUCAGGAGGUUAGUGCAAUGGCAUAAGCCAGCUUGACUGCGAGCGUGACGGCGCGAGCAGGUGCGAAAGCAGGUCAUAGUGAUCCGGUGGUUCUGAAUGGAAGGGCCAUCGCUCAACGGAUAAAAGGUACUCCGGGGAUAACAGGCUGAUACCGCCCAAGAGUUCAUAUCGACGGCGGUGUUUGGCACCUCGAUGUCGGCUCAUCACAUCCUGGGGCUGAAGUAGGUCCCAAGGGUAUGGCUGUUCGCCAUUUAAAGUGGUACGCGAGCUGGGUUUAGAACGUCGUGAGACAGUUCGGUCCCUAUCUGCCGUGGGCGCUGGAGAACUGAGGGGGGCUGCUCCUAGUACGAGAGGACCGGAGUGGACGCAUCACUGGUGUUCGGGUUGUCAUGCCAAUGGCACUGCCCGGUAGCUAAAUGCGGAAGAGAUAAGUGCUGAAAGCAUCUAAGCACGAAACUUGCCCCGAGAUGAGUUCUCCCUGACUCCUUGAGAGUCCUGAAGGAACGUUGAAGACGACGACGUUGAUAGGCCGGGUGUGUAAGCGCAGCGAUGCGUUGAGCUAACCGGUACUAAUGAACCGUGAGGCUUAACCUU
Molecule: ribosomal RNA, 2902 nt
Filed under: Escherichia coli OK1357
Lineage: Bacteria; Pseudomonadati; Pseudomonadota; Gammaproteobacteria; Enterobacterales; Enterobacteriaceae
Also listed under: 2 other names
Description: bacterial LSU rRNA
Rfam family: Bacterial large subunit ribosomal RNA
Source: RNAcentral